GACGAACGCUGGCGGCGUGCUUAACACAUGCAAGUCGAACGGAAAGGCCCUGCUUUUGUGGGGUGCUCGAGUGGCGAACGGGUGAGUAACACGUGAGUAACCUGCCCUUGACUUUGGGAUAACUUCAGGAAACUGGGGCUACUACCGGAUAGGAGCUCCUGCUGCAUGGUGGGGGUUGGAAAGUUUCGGCGGUUGGGGAUGGACUCGCGGCUUAUUAGCUUGUUGGUGGGGUAGUGGCUUACCAAGGCUUUGAUGGGUAGCCGGCCUGAGAGGGUGACCGGCCACAUUGGGACUGAGAUACGGCCCAGACUCCUACGGGAGGCAGCAGUGGGGAAUAUUGCACAAUGGGCGGAAGCCUGAGGCAGCAACGCCGCGUGCGGGAUGACGGCCUUCGGGUUGUAAACCGCUUUCGCCUGUGACGAAGCGUGAGUGACGGUAAUGGGUAAAGAAGCACCGGCUAACUACGUG
This 468-nucleotide ribosomal RNA is filed under the name uncultured bacterium. RNAcentral's name for it is "partial 16S ribosomal RNA". It matches the Rfam family "Bacterial small subunit ribosomal RNA", at positions 28 to 507 of the family's 1533-position model. The record is from RNAcentral.